AUACGGAGGAUGCAAGCGUUACUCGGAAUCACUGGGCGUAAAGCGCGCGCAGGCGGCUUGAUAAGUUGGAUGUGAAAGCCUACGGCUCAACCGUAGAACUGCAUCCAAAACUGUCAGGCUAGAGUGUGGGAGAGGAAGAUGGAAUUAGUUGUGUAGGGGUAAAAUCCGUAGAGAUAACUAGGAAUACCAAAAGCGAAGGCAAUCUUCUGGAACACUACUGACGCUGAGGCGCGAAGGCGUGGGGAGCAAACAGGAUUAGAUACCCCAGUAGUCC
Molecule: ribosomal RNA, 274 nt
Filed under: uncultured bacterium
Lineage: Bacteria
Description: partial 16S ribosomal RNA
Rfam family: Bacterial small subunit ribosomal RNA
Source: RNAcentral